This 29-nucleotide non-coding RNA is filed under the name Bombyx mori (domestic silkworm). Lineage: Eukaryota; Metazoa; Arthropoda; Insecta; Lepidoptera; Bombycidae. The record is from RNAcentral.
UAUCAAACGUUGGUCCAGUAGAUGGCACA